UACGUAGGUGGCAAGCGUUGUCCGGAUUUACUGGGCGUAAAGAGCGCGCAGGCGGUCGAUCAAGUCGCGUGUGAAAGCCCCCGGCUCAACUGGGGAGGGUCACGCGAUACUGAUCGACUCGAAGGCAGGAGAGGGUAGUGGAAUUCCCGGUGUAGUGGUGAAAUGCGUAGAUAUCGGAAGGAACACCAGUGGCGAAGGCGACUACCUGGCCUGUUUCUUGACGCUGAGGCGCGAAAGCCAGGGGAGCAAACGGG
Molecule: ribosomal RNA, 254 nt
Filed under: uncultured bacterium
Lineage: Bacteria
Description: partial 16S ribosomal RNA
Rfam family: Bacterial small subunit ribosomal RNA
Source: RNAcentral